ACUUUGUCCUUGUAGCUUAAGCCAAAGCACGGCACUGAAGACGCCAAGAUGGAUGCCACCA
Molecule: transfer RNA, 61 nt
Filed under: Cyanopsitta spixii (Spix's macaw)
Lineage: Eukaryota; Metazoa; Chordata; Aves; Psittaciformes; Psittacidae
Description: partial tRNA-Phe
Source: RNAcentral